CCCCAGUCCCCUGAGAACGCAGCCUGUGAUUUACAUAUGUGUGCAUGUAAAUACACAAACGCACACAUGGCCACCCUUGGCACCCGCAGGGGAGGGCUGCCAGGACCCCCUUGCUCAUGUCCCUGACGUAAACUGGUGCAGUGUCUGCCUAGAACCCACCCGCGUCCUGCCAAACCAUAAAUCACCAUAGGUUACUACAAACGCAAACGCGAUGUCGCCGCGGGCGAUGGCUGUUGCAUGGCAUUGCUUCGGGAAAACUGGCCCAAAAAAUCUGCAUGUGUUCAGUACAGAUAAGAACACAAAUCUUUUCCCCAAAUAUUUUCAACCUACAGCUGGUGAAAUCCACAGCUGCAGGAACCCAUGGCUAGUGAGGGCCAACUGCAGUACACGGGGGAGCGUGAGUGUGUGUGUGAAGAGAGAGAGAAUGGAAUCAAGCGAAUGAAAGCGUGAGUGUGUGUGGAGAGAGAGAACGGAAUCAAGCAAAUGACAGCGCGUGUGUGUGGAGAGAGAACGGAAUCAAGCGAAUGAGAACGUGAGUGUGUGUGUGGAGAGAGAACGGAAUCAAGCGAAUGACAGCGCGUGAGUGUGUGUGGAGAGAGAACGGAAUCAAGCGAAUGAGAACGCGAGUGUGUGUGUGGAGAGAGAACGGAAUCAAGCGAAUGACAGCGCGUGAGUGUGUGUGGAGAGAACGGAAUCAAGCGAAUGAGAACGCGAGUGUGUGUGGAGAGAGAGAAGAGAGUCAAGCGAAUGAGAACACGAGUGUGCGUGGAGAGAGAGAACAGAGUCAAGCGAAUGAGAGCGCAUGAGUGUGUGUGGAGAGAGAACGGAAUCAAGUGAAUGAGAGCGCGUGAGUGUGUGUGGAGAGAGAGAACAGAGUCAAGCGAAUGAGAGCGCAUGAGUGUGUGUGGAGAGAGAGAACGGAAUCAAGCGAAUGAGAGCGCGUGAGUGUGUGUGUGGAGAGAGAACGGAAUCAGGCGAAUGAGAGCGCGUGAGUGUGUGUGUGGAGAGAGAGAACAGAGUCAAGCGAAUGAGAGCGCGUGAGUGUGUAUGUGGAGAGAGAGAACGGAAUCAAGCGAAUGAGAGCGCGUCAGUGUGUGUGUGGAGAGAGAGAACGGAAUCAAGCGAAUGAGAGCGCGUGAGUGUGUGUGUGGAGAGAGAACAGAGUCAAGCGAAUGAGAGCGCGUGAGGGUGUGUGGAGAGAGAGAACGGAAUCAGGCGAACGAGAGCGCGUGUGUGUGGAGAGAGAACGGAAUCAAGUGAACGAGAGCGCGUGAGUGUGUGUGGAGAGAGAGAACGGAAUCAAGCGAACGAGAGCGCGUGAGUGUGUGUGUGGAGAGAGAGAACGGAUUCAGGCGAAUGAGAG
This 1363-nucleotide long non-coding RNA is filed under the name Pan troglodytes (chimpanzee). RNAcentral describes it as "long non-coding RNA NONPTRT008302". Lineage: Eukaryota; Metazoa; Chordata; Mammalia; Primates; Hominidae. The record is from RNAcentral.